This 3245-nucleotide small RNA is filed under the name Pongo abelii (Sumatran orangutan). Its description in RNAcentral is "processed transcript". Lineage: Eukaryota; Metazoa; Chordata; Mammalia; Primates; Hominidae. The record is from RNAcentral.
GUUGUAGAUGAGCAUGAGAGUGUGGAGCAGAGUCGGCGAGCGCAAGCUGAGCCCAUCAACCUGGACAGCUGUCUCCGUUCUUUCACCAGUGACGAAGAGCUAGGGGAAAAUGAGAUGUACUACUGUUCCAAGUGUAAGACCCACUGCUUAGCAACAAAGAAGCUGGAUCUCUGGAGUCUUCCACCCUUUCUGAUUAUUCACCUUAAGCGAUUUCAAUUUGUAAAUGAUCAGUGGAUAAAAUCACAGAAAAUUGUCAAAUUUCCUCGGGAAAGUUUUGAUCCGAGUGCUUUUUUGGUACCACGAGACCCAGGUCUCUGCCAGCAUAAACCACUCACACCCCAGGGGGAUGAGCUCUCCAAGCCCAGGAUUCUGGCAAGAGAGGUGAAGAAAGUGGAUGCGCAGAGUUCGGCUGGGGAAGAGGACAUGCUCCUGAGCAAAAGCCCAUCCUCACUCAGCGCUAACAUCAGCAGCAGCCCAAAAGAUUCUCCUUCUUCAUCAAGAAAAAGUGGAACCAGCUGUCCCUCCAGCAAAAACAGCAGCCCUAAUAGCAGCCCACAGACUUUGGGGAGGAGCAAAGGGAGGCUCCGGCUGCCCCAGAUUGGCAGCAAAAAUAAACUGUCAAGUAGUAAGAAGAACUUGGAUGCCAGCCAAGAGAAUGGGGCUGGGCAGAUCUGUGAGCUGGCUGAUGCCUUGAGCCAAGGGCAUAUGCAGGGGGACAGCCAACCAGAGCUGGUCACUCCUCAGGACCACGAGGUAGCUUUGGCCAAUGGAUUCCUUUAUGAGCAUGAAGCAUGUGGCAAUGGCUGUGGCAAUGGCUACAGCAAUGGUCAGCUUGGUAACCACAGUGAAGAAGACAGCACUGAUGACCAAAGAGAAGACACUCAUAUUAAGCCUAUUUAUAAUCUAUAUGCAAUUUCAUGCCAUUCAGGAAUUCUGAGUGGGGGCCAUUACGUCACUUAUGCCAAAAAUCCAAACUGCAAGUGGUACUGCUACAAUGACAGCAUCUGUGAGGAAUGUCACCCUGAUGAAAUUGACACCGACUCUGCCUACAUUCUUUUCUAUGAGCAGCAGGGGAUAGACUAUGCACAAUUUCUGCCAAAGAUUGAUGGCAAAAAGAUGGCAGACACAAGCAGUAUGGAUGAAGACUUUGAGUCUGAUUACAAAAAGUACUGUAUGUUACAGUAAAGCUACCACUCUGGCUGCUAGACAGCUUGGUGGUGAGGGAGAUGACUCCUUGCCAAGCUGAUACUUGGCAAAAGCGUCACUGAAAGGCAAGCUAAAUGUAGUUAUUUUAUCCUGUUAGAAUACAAAUUCUAAUUAAAAUAGUUAACUUUAAGAGUAGCAAUAAUUUUAUUUUAAAGUCUCAUACAAGUUGUCCGAUAGAGAACUUUCAGGCAGAUCCCACCAUCAGCCUGCAAACAAAAGGUUUGGCACCAGCCACCUGGGACCAAAUAAGAAUUCAAUUGUGCUUGUCCAGAUAUGAACAAAUAUGUAGUGAGUAUAGAGUUUACCAAUAAUCAUAACAAAUAUUAAAGAUUUCCUUGGAGUCAAAGUAAAAAACAAAAAAUUGUAAUGUUGUCUAGGGAUGACAUGAUAUGCUACCUCCUUCUUCCCGAAGUUUAUUCCAUUAUAUUGACAAGAUGGAGAAAGCCAGAUCAUGAAGGUGUGCAAAUGAUUCUUACGGCAUGGGCGAGGAUUUUUCAAUUUAUUUUUUAAAGUUUCCAUACCCUUUCUUUGUCUUUCUUGCUUUUUGUCUUUGCCGUUGUGUUUAUGUUUGAGACACAACCAGUCAUUGGUGGCAGGGGCAUAGAGUGGUCAGUCUGAAAGGGAGGCUCUCUUAAGAGCUAUGUGCCUUCCACCCAGAGGGAGACCCAGUAGAAAGAAAAACAUCCUGGGAAAUCCAGCUACCAUGGCCCUCCCAGUGGAGGCAUCUUACAUUUAGGAUACUUCAAGUAUCCUCAGAAAUGUAUUCUGCACCCCCGGCCCUGCCCAUGCUGAGGGAAGGGGAGCAGUUGCCAAUAUUUGCACCAUCUUCACGUGCACAUGUUGCAACAAGAGCUUCUGGGAAGGUAAGCGGCAUCGGAGCUAGAUCAUGUUUCACAAUUAGUGGUUGUUCUUUUCCGUGUUUAUUUUGCACUUUGAAAAAGAGAACACAUGCAAAUGAACUUGCUUGUGUGUAUUUGAUGGCUCUAAGAGCUAUAAAUUACCAACAAAACACAUCCCAGUCAUUAGGAGUUCAUAAGUAUAUUUAAUGAAAUUGGUGGUUUUAGGAAGUCAACUUUAGUUUUGCUUUGUUUAGUUUUGCAUGUUCACUAAUUUUUUUAUUUUGAUAUUUGCCUUUUUUAAUUUUACAGUAGUCAUUGAAAGUUAUGUCUCUUUGUUUAUUUCAUUUUUUCCUCUAAUUAUUCAAGACUGGAACAAAAGUAUAAAUAUUAUUUAUUUCAGGUAGAAUUUUUUUGUGUAGUUUUUUAAUAUAUACUUGAAGGAAAUGUUUCACCUUAUUUUUGGUCUUUGUUUAUUCAUUUAGACCCUGCAAGUUGAUUCUCAUUAAUUGUCAGAUUCCACUACCCUUUCUUCCUCAUAGGUAGUAAUUACCAGUGUAACUAAGCAUUUGUGUUCUGAUAUCUGAGGCCAGUAACUAUGAAUAUCUAGUUCUCAGAGCAUUUGGAAAGGUUAUCUUAAAUGGCUACCUAAAUUGAAAUCCUUUUCAGAAAAAAUAUAAUUGCAAGUAGGUAGGAGUGGCCUAAAUUGUCAAUGUAAUAAAGUCGGACAAAAUGCAUACUUUAUAGUUUCAAGAUUUUCAGUAUAUAAAAUCUGUCCUUUUAUACCUGGACAUGUCCCAUUAAAAAGUGGAAGAUUUUAAAUAGUUUCUUUACAGAUGUUUUACUUAAGCAGGUAGCACAAUCUACUAAUGUUGUUUGAUCUAUGUUUGUUAUACUGGUUGUAAUUAAUUUUUUUAAUUCAUGAACUAGCGGAACAUUUAUUAAAUUAACUAUUAACUACAUUCACCUUGUAAAUUACUGUAUAAAACUUGUUAAUGCACUGACUUUAGAAAGAUGUUAAUGUACAUAAAUAGAGUGUGAAUAAAAUAGUGUUGAUGUACUGAAAUAUGAACUGUAUAAAAAGCAUUGGUAAUUGUAUAUGGGGUGUACCUGUUUAUCUGUAACUAUUAUCCAAACAAAUUAAAUACUGUGGAUGCCUCUAUGUGCUGUUUUUCCUCAUACAAGUAAACACAGAAAGUCAAA